GACGAACGCUGGCGGCGUGCCUAAUACAUGCAAGUCGAACGCUUCUUUCCUCACGAGUGCUUGCACUCAAUUGGAAAGAGGAGUGGCGGACGGGUGAGUAACACGUGGGUAACCUACCCAUCAGAGGGGGAUAACACUUGGAAACAGGUGCUAAUACCGCAUAACAGUUUAUGCCGCAUGGCAUAAGAGUGAAAGGCGCUUUCGGGUGUCGCUGAUGGAUGGACCCGCGGUGCAUUAGCUAGUUGGUGAGGUAACGGCUCACCAAGGCCACGAUGCAUAGCCGACCUGAGAGGGUGAUCGGCCACACUGGGACUGAGACACGGCCCAGACUCCUACGGGAGGCAGCAGUAGGGAAUCUUCGGCAAUGGACGAAAGUCUGACCGAGCAACGCCGCGUGAGUGAAGAAGGUUUUCGGAUCGUAAAACUCUGUUGUUAGAGAAGAACAAGGACGUUAGUAACUGAACGUCCCCUGACGGUAUCUAACCAGAAAGCCACGGCUAACUACGUG
This 508-nucleotide ribosomal RNA is filed under the name uncultured bacterium. Its description in RNAcentral is "partial 16S ribosomal RNA". It matches the Rfam family "Bacterial small subunit ribosomal RNA", at positions 28 to 507 of the family's 1533-position model. The record is from RNAcentral.